This 505-nucleotide ribosomal RNA is filed under the name uncultured microorganism. Its description in RNAcentral is "bacterial SSU rRNA". It matches the Rfam family "Bacterial small subunit ribosomal RNA", at positions 9 to 505 of the family's 1533-position model. The record is from RNAcentral.
GAGUUUGAUCCUGGCUCAGGAUGAACGCCGGCGGUGUGCCUAAUACAUGCAAGUCGUACGCACUGGCCCAACUGAUUGAUGGUGCUUGCACCUGAUCGACGAUGGAUCACCAGUGAGUGGCGGACGGGUGAGUAACACGUAGGUAACCUGCCCUGUACAGGGGGAUAACAAUCAGAAAUGACUGCUAAUACCGCAUAAGACCACAGCACCGCAUGGUGCAGGGGUAAAAACUCCGGUGGUACAGGAUGGACCCGCGUCUGAUUAGCUGGUUGGUGAGGUAACGGCUCACCAAGGCGACGAUCAGUAGCCGGCUUGAGAGAGUGAACGGCCACAUUGGGACUGAGACACGGCCCAAACUCCUACGGGAGGCAGCAGUGGGGAAUAUUGCACAAUGGGGAAACCCUGAUGCAGCAACGCCGCGUGAGUGAAGAAGUAUUCGGUAUGUAAAGCUCUAUCAGCAGGGAGGAAAGUGACGGUACCUGACUAAGAAGCCCGGCUAACUACG